This 494-nucleotide ribosomal RNA is filed under the name uncultured bacterium. RNAcentral's name for it is "partial 16S ribosomal RNA". It matches the Rfam family "Bacterial small subunit ribosomal RNA", at positions 28 to 507 of the family's 1533-position model. The record is from RNAcentral.
GACGAACGCUGGCGGCGUGCUUAACACAUGCAAGUCGAACGGUGAAGCGCCUUCCUUUUUGGUGGGUGUGGAUGAGUGGCGAACGGGUGUGUAACACGUGAGUAACCUGCCCCCUUCUUCUGGAUAACCGCAUGAAAGUGUGGCUAAUACGGGAUAUUCUGGGUCUGUCGCAUGAUGGGUCUGGGAAAGAUAUUGUUUCGGUGGGGGAUGGGCUCGCGGCCUAUCAGCUUGCUGGUGGGGUGAUGGCCUACCAAGGCGGUGACGGGUAGCCGGCCUGAGAGGGUGGACGGUCACACUGGGACUGAGACACGGCCCAGACUCCUACGGGAGGCAGCAGUGGGGAAUAUUGCACAAUGGGCGCAAGCCUGAUGCAGCGACGCCGCGUGAGGGAUGGAGGCCUUCGGGUUGUGAACCUCUUUCGCCAGUGAAGCAGGCCUGCCUCGUUUGUGGGUGGGUUGACGGUAGCUGGAUAAGAAGCGCCGGCUAACUACGUG